Molecule: long non-coding RNA, 358 nt
Organism: Oncorhynchus tshawytscha (Chinook salmon)
Lineage: Eukaryota; Metazoa; Chordata; Actinopteri; Salmoniformes; Salmonidae
Source: Ensembl
GGGAUAAGCGAGUUAAAAGAAAGUGAGGUAGAGAGCCCUGAAGAGAGAGAAGUAUGAAAGGGAGACAGAGACGAGAGAGAGAGAGAGAGAAAAUAAAGAAACACAUGAAAGGUAGAGAGAGGAAAGAAAGUGGUAGAGAGCCCUGAAGAGAGAGAAGUAUGAAAGGGAGACAGAGAUGGGAGAGAGAGGGAGAGAAAAUAAAGAAACACAUGAAAGGUAGAGAGAGGAAAGAAAGUGGUAGAGAGCCCUGAAGAGAGAGAAGUAUGAAAGGGAGACAGAGAUGGGAGAGAGAGAGAGAGGGAGAGAAAAUAAAGAAACACAUGAAAGGUAGAGAGAGGAAAGAAAGUGAGGUAGAGAG